Molecule: long non-coding RNA, 1155 nt
Filed under: Rhagoletis pomonella (apple maggot)
Lineage: Eukaryota; Metazoa; Arthropoda; Insecta; Diptera; Tephritidae
Description: uncharacterized LOC118736573
Source: RNAcentral
UUGAGAAAUAAAGUUUUUAAAUAAAUUUUCGUAUUUACAUAUGUUAAUUUGCUUCUUUGCUUAUUUAGCGCAGCCAUGGCAGAAAAAAUCAAGUGGACUCAAGCGGAGAUUGAAAAUCUAAUAAAUUUGGUGCAGCAGUAUGAGUGCAUCUAUAAUGUAAAGUGUGCAGGUUAUUUAGACCGCAACGCCAAAGCCCAAGCGUUUAAUAAAAUCUGCGAAGAUUUGGAAAUGCCGUUAUUAGACGUAAUAGAAGUGAAGAAAAAGUGGAAAAAUUUGAGGACACAGUUUUUGAGAGAGAUGCGAGAGUUGCGGGCUUCUAAAAAAAGUGGUUCAGGACUCUGCGAUGUGUACACACAAAAAUUGUGGUGUUAUACACAAUUACAAUUCCUUGAAGCCCACACACAAAUAAGGAGCGGACAGAGUAAUUAUGAGGUAAUAUUUUAAUUUUGUUUCUCAUGUUUAUUAAAAAAUACAUGUUUUACUUCUAAGGAUGUAACCCCCCCGCCCGAAAGCCCAGGAGGCACCUCGUCUGGUGUCUCAAAUUUUUCCCAGUUCAGCCCAGGAGCCCCAUCGAGUAUUUCUCAUUCUUCCCCACUAAGCCCACAAACGACUUUAAGUGAUUUUAUUGAUAUAAGCACUGAAGCGAGUAGCAGUGGCGCUAGCGAGCCACAGAAGAAACGGGCAAAGGACGGUGCACUGUACAGGUUACGGAAGGAUUUGGCCUCAUUCAAAGAUAGAAUCUGCGAAAAGCGCACGAAGCCAUUUUCUUGGCUGGGGAACUUGGUAGCAACCCAAAUGGAGGAAAUAAUUCCCGAACAGCAAGACGACGCUGCGUGGGAGGUUCAAUGCCUUAUGCGAAGAUUGGUGCAAAAAUCUAAGAACGCCCCAUCUUCGCAACCUGUUUCGUGUGACCUGCUUCAAGAUGCAAUGAGUGGAGUCUUUGAUGAAACUGAUUUUGAAUGACUGUAAGUAAUAUGGAUGUCCGUUCUAUAAAAGCAAAUCAAAAACGUUUAUUUUUUAUUUUUAUUUUUACAGCUCCUUAUAAAAAUUAGUGCUGUGAAAUGGAAGAAGUACCUGGAAUGUGUAUUUUUAACCGACUUCCAAAAAAGGAGGAGGUUAUCAGUUCGUCGGAAUUUUUUUUAUUUUUUAUUUUUU